This 182-nucleotide non-coding RNA is filed under the name Chloroflexota bacterium. RNAcentral describes it as "Chloroflexi bacterium (marine metagenome) 6S RNA". It matches the Rfam family "6S / SsrS RNA". From Rfam's summary of the family: E. coli 6S RNA was the first non coding RNA to be sequenced, but its function was unknown until recently. It consists of 184 nucleotides that fold into an extended hairpin structure with a large single-stranded internal bulge. Lineage: Bacteria; Bacillati; Chloroflexota. The record is from RNAcentral.
UAUCAACUGCGGUGUUUGUUAGCACCUUCAUAAUCCUUGAGCCUAUUUAUCAACUUUGGGAUUUUUAGAGUUAUUCCGGUGUGCAGGCCCGAGUUAUAUCGGGAAGCCUAAUGGAUGAUCUGGUUAUCCCCCCUGAACCCUCGGUUCAAGGUUGAUAGACGCGACGGCAUCGCGGUUGGUAU